RNAcentral lists this long non-coding RNA (547 nucleotides) under Cyanistes caeruleus (blue tit). RNAcentral's name for it is "lncRNA (ENSCCEG00000022348.1)". Lineage: Eukaryota; Metazoa; Chordata; Aves; Passeriformes; Paridae. The record is from RNAcentral.
CUUUCCCAGCUCCCUCAGCUGCUCCUGGGGCUCCAAACCCUUCCCAGCUCCAUUCCCGUUUCCGGACAUGCUCCAGCCCUGUAUUUCUUGUCAUGAGAUGCCACCGAGUCACAUCCUUGGACAUUUUUAAUGUCAUUCCCCAGGAAAGAAGCAUCCACAGGAAUGUGAGCUCUCACUGCUUAUCCCUGAUCCACAGCAUUCAGGACUGCUUUGAAUAAUGGAAGAAGGAGCCAGACCCAGGAGAUUUUCCAGCAGGAGAACAGGAGAGAAGAUCCAGAGGCUGCACAAAUCCCUGGGAAAGGGCUGUGGAGAGUCUGAGAGUGAGGUGCAGAUGUCCAGAAAGGCAGAAGAUCUGGAGGGGAGGAGGGAAUAUGGGCAUGGAAAAGGAAUGAGGGGAACGGGCCGAAGCUGGUUUUAUUUGAUAAUUUCCCAAAGAUCCAUUUCUUUUUGUGGGAUUGGUGGAAAUUAAUGAAUGUAUUGGUGAGCAGCAACCCUGGAGAGGCCUUGGCUUGGGAGGGUGACAAAUAAACCAGAGUUUGGCUCAUCA